Molecule: small RNA, 28 nt
Filed under: Bombyx mori (domestic silkworm)
Lineage: Eukaryota; Metazoa; Arthropoda; Insecta; Lepidoptera; Bombycidae
Description: ovarian small RNA-18008
Source: RNAcentral
UAAAAAUGCGUCGAUAGGAUGUCGUUCC